RNAcentral lists this transfer RNA (86 nucleotides) under Candidatus Palauibacterales bacterium. RNAcentral describes it as "tRNA-Leu". It matches the Rfam family "tRNA". Rfam says of the family: Transfer RNA (tRNA) molecules are approximately 80 nucleotides in length. The record is from RNAcentral. Lineage: Bacteria; Pseudomonadati; Gemmatimonadota; Gemmatimonadia; Candidatus Palauibacterales. RNAcentral also lists the same sequence under 2 other names.
GCCCAGGUGGCGGAACAGGCAGACGCGCCAGCUUGAGGGGCUGGUGCCCGUCUUAGGGCGUGGAGGUUCGAAUCCUCUCCUGGGCA